CCCUUAGAUGUCCUGGGCUGCACGCGCGCUACACUGGAAGUUACGGAUUGAGAUACUACCUUGUCCGAAAUGGUCCGGGUAAUCACCUAAAAGCUUGUCAUAAUUGGAAUGGAUUAUUGUAACUAGUAAUCCUGAACGAGGAAUUCCUAGUAAGUCCCAGUCAACAGCUGGUACUGAUUACGUCCCUGCCCUUUGUACACACCGCCCGUCGCUACUACUGAUUGGACGUUUAAGCAAGAUUUUUAAACACUGACAGUGUGUAGUUCACGCUAUACUACAGCGAGAAGAAGAAGAUCGAGCUUACUUGUCUAGAGGAAGUAAAAGUCGUAACA
Molecule: ribosomal RNA, 332 nt
Filed under: uncultured eukaryote
Lineage: Eukaryota
Description: partial 18S ribosomal RNA
Rfam family: Eukaryotic small subunit ribosomal RNA
Source: RNAcentral